RNAcentral lists this long non-coding RNA (277 nucleotides) under Homo sapiens (human). RNAcentral's name for it is "HSALNT0087078". The record is from RNAcentral. Lineage: Eukaryota; Metazoa; Chordata; Mammalia; Primates; Hominidae.
CCUCCAUCUUCAACGCAGGGGUAUACGUCGACUUCCACUCACACACACCGCGGGCAACCAGUAUCAUCUCACCUCAGCCAACCAGCGACCAGAGCAGUGAUGCGUGGAGCCGACCCGCAUGACGCCACAGGGGCUGCUGGGUAACACCCCUACACCAGCUUCCCAGCUCCCCCAACGCUUGGCCGCAGGACAUGGCAGGAAAGCUAGUGAUGGAAAUUGAGACACAAGACAGAGGCAUAUAAAGAGAUGGCCAUAUGACAGUCAAGGCAGAGACUGA